Mycena sp. CBHHK59/15 is the source of this 90-nucleotide non-coding RNA. The record is from the annotation of a GenBank genome assembly. NCBI's taxonomy places the organism in Eukaryota, Fungi, Basidiomycota, Agaricomycetes, Agaricales, Mycenaceae.
UCCCAUAUGGUGUAGCGGUUUAACAUUACCGCCUUUCAAUUAACUGAUCAUUGUGCGCGGUAGCCCGGGGUUCGACUCCCCGUAUGGGAA